This 253-nucleotide ribosomal RNA is filed under the name uncultured bacterium. Its description in RNAcentral is "partial 16S ribosomal RNA". It matches the Rfam family "Bacterial small subunit ribosomal RNA", at positions 524 to 776 of the family's 1533-position model. The record is from RNAcentral.
UACAGAGGGUGCUAGUGUUGUUCGGAUUUAUUGGGCGUAAAGGGAGUGUAGGUGGGGGCUAAAGUCAGUGGUGAAAAUUCGGGGCUUAACCCUGAACUUGCCAUUGAUACUGAGUCUCUUGAGUAUGGAAGAGGGCGAUGGAAUUCCUGGUGUAGCGGUGGAAUGCGUAGAUAUCAGGAGGAACACCGAUUGCGAAGGCAGUCGCCUGGGACAAUACUGACACUGAAACUCGAAAGCAUGGGGAGCAAACAGG